This 1032-nucleotide long non-coding RNA is filed under the name Piliocolobus tephrosceles (Ugandan red Colobus). RNAcentral describes it as "lncRNA (ENSPTEG00000006152.1)". The record is from RNAcentral. Lineage: Eukaryota; Metazoa; Chordata; Mammalia; Primates; Cercopithecidae.
AUGUUUAUAAUAAAAAUAAAAAAAAGAAAUCAGAUAGACAAUAAUGAAAGAUGUAAAUAUAUAUUUAAUAAUUUGAUGAAAAUUUUUAAUUAUUUAACAUUUGUUUUAGUUCUAUCAUGUUUAUAUUUACUUUAUUUUUAUAAAAAUAUAUGUACAACAAAUACGUUAUCUUUAAAAAUUAUAAAAAUAUAUUAUUAUUUUGCAUUAACUAUUUAUUUUAUUCCUUUAAUAUUUUAUAUUUUUCUUGGUUUAUUCUUAUCAAUUAUUAUUUGUAUUAUGGUUAAUUUUUCUGUUGAUGAAAAUGAUCGAAUACCAACUCCACAAAAUAUUAUAAGUAAAUUAAAAGUUAUGAAAUAUGAAGAUAUUGAUUAUAUUUAUAAUAUUAAUAACAAUAAUAAUAAUAAAAAAAGUAGAAAUAAAUCAUAUAUUAAAAAACCUUCUUUUGAAAUGAUCAUAGACAAAGUAAAAAAUGUUAUACGAGAUAAAAGUAAUAAAGAAACAUUAACAAAAUCAAAUUCUAAUGUAUUAAUUAAUGUGAAUAGUUUAAGUAGUUCAGAUGAAAACUUGCAAGAAAUGCUAAAACCACUUAAUUCAGAUAUGCAUGACGAAAAAAAUGGUCAGACUUCUGAUGGUAUUACAAUAGAUAACCAUGGACACAUGGACAAUUACACGAAUGACCUUGCCUAUGGACAUAACGAUAGUACUGAAUAUUAUAACACAAAUAAUAACAAUAAUAAUAAUAAAAAUAAUAGUACUGAUAAAAAUAAUAAUACUAAUGAAAGUAUGAGUAAGACACCAAAAAAAAAUAUAACAAACAAUAACUAUAAUGAAUUAUCUAAUGAAAUUGAAGAUGUGUGUUCAAUAUGUAUGUUAAAUUAUAUAAGUAGUGAUGAUAUUAUGAUUUUACCAUGUGAUAAAAGACAUUUUUUUCAUGUAAAUUGUCUUACUAAAUGGUUAUAUAAAAGCCAGGUAUGUCCUAUUUGUAGGACAAACAUUGUUAAUUGUGUAAAUGUAAAAAAUGAUGUUGUUUGA